AAGAGUUUGAUCAUGGCUCAGGAUGAACGCCGGCGGUGUGCCUAAUACAUGCAAGUCGAACGCGUUGGCCCAAUUGAUUGACGGUGCUUGCACCUGAUUGAUUUUGGUCGCCAACGAGUGGCGGACGGGUGAGUAACACGUAGGUAACCUGCCCAGAAGCGGGGGACAACAUUUGGAAACAGAUGCUAAUACCGCAUAACAGCGUUGUUCGCAUGAACAACGCUUAAAAGAUGGCUUCUCGCUAUCACUUCUGGAUGGACCUGCGGUGCAUUAGCUUGUUGGUGGGGUAACGGCCUACCAAGGCGAUGAUGCAUAGCCGAGUUGAGAGACUGAUCGGCCACAAUGGGACUGAGACACGGCCCAUACUCCUACGGGAGGCAGCAGUAGGGAAUCUUCCACAAUGGGCGCAAGCCUGAUGGAGCAACACCGCGUGAGUGAAGAAGGGUUUCGGCUCGUAAAGCUCUGUUGUUAAAGAAGAACACGUAUGAGAGUAACUGUUCAUACGUUGACGGUAUUUAACCAGAAAGUCACGGCUAACUACGUGCCAGCAGCCGCGGUAAUACGUAGGUGGCAAGCGUUAUCCGGAUUUAUUGGGCGUAAAGAGAGUGCAGGCGGUUUUCUAAGUCUGAUGUGAAAGCCUUCGGCUUAACCGGAGAAGUGCAUCGGAAACUGGAUAACUUGAGUGCAGAAGAGGGUAGUGGAACUCCAUGUGUAGCGGUGGAAUGCGUAGAUAUAUGGAAGAACACCAGUGGCGAAGGCGGCUACCUGGUCUGCAACUGACGCUGAGACUCGAAAGCAUGGGUAGCGAACAGGAUUAGAUACCCUGGUAGUCCAUGCCGUAAACGAUGAGUGCUAGGUGUUGGAGGGUUUCCGCCCUUCAGUGCCGGAGCUAACGCAUUAAGCACUCCGCCUGGGGAGUACGACCGCAAGGUUGAAACUCAAAGGAAUUGACGGGGGCCCGCACAAGCGGUGGAGCAUGUGGUUUAAUUCGAAGCUACGCGAAGAACCUUACCAGGUCUUGACAUCUUGCGCCAACCCUAGAGAUAGGGCGUUUCCUUCGGGAACGCAAUGACAGGUGGUGCAUGGUCGUCGUCAGCUCGUGUCGUGAGAUGUUGGGUUAAGUCCCGCAACGAGCGCAACCCUUGUUACUAGUUGCCAGCAUUAAGUUGGGCACUCUAGUGAGACUGCCGGUGACAAACCGGAGGAAGGUGGGGACGACGUCAGAUCAUCAUGCCCCUUAUGACCUGGGCUACACACGUGCUACAAUGGACGGUACAACGAGUCGCGAACUCGCGAGGGCAAGCAAAUCUCUUAAAACCGUUCUCAGUUCGGACUGCAGGCUGCAACUCGCCUGCACGAAGUCGGAAUCGCUAGUAAUCGCGGAUCAGCAUGCCGCGGUGAAUACGUUCCCGGGCCUUGUACACACCGCCCGUCACACCAUGAGAGUUUGUAACACCCAAAGUCGGUGGGGUAACCUUUUAGGAGCCAGCCGCCUAAGGUGGGACAGAUGAUUAGGGUGAAGUCGGAACAAGGUAGCCGUAGGAGAACCUGCGGC
RNAcentral lists this ribosomal RNA (1555 nucleotides) under Limosilactobacillus fermentum. RNAcentral's name for it is "Lactobacillus fermentum 16S ribosomal RNA". It matches the Rfam family "Bacterial small subunit ribosomal RNA". Lineage: Bacteria; Bacillati; Bacillota; Bacilli; Lactobacillales; Lactobacillaceae. The record is from RNAcentral.